ACUCUCUCAUCAGUGAUCACCCCUACCACCACUAUAUGAUAGAUAACAUACGGUAAAGCGAAUGAUUAGAGGACAUUGGGGCCGAAACGACAUCAACCUAUUCUCAAACUAUAAAUGAGUGAGAUCGCCGGCUUUACCUGGUACACCGCGUGAACCGCGUGCGAAGCCGGUGACGGAACCCUAGGCGCUUAGUGGGCCAUUUUUGGUAAGCAGAACUGGCGCUGCGGGAUGAACCGAACGCCGAGUUAAGACGCCGAAAUCGACGCGUAUUCAGAGACCAUGAAAAGCGUUGGUUGCUGAUGACAGCAGGACGGUGGCCAUGGAAGUCGGAAUCCACUAAGGAGUGUGUGUUACGUACCUACGUAUACAUUAAUUAUGUAUAAACUAUGUACAGCGUAUCGUACGUUCUUAGCAAUAUCUAACGAUUGUAACUAAUAAGACAAUUAGUAUAUUAUAACACGCGGAGGUCGUUGCAAAAGCAUAGUAGAAACAAUCAAAUCAUAAAAGUGUCGUCACACGUAUCUUCUCGGGAAAGUCAACACUCAUACGAAGGAUACGAGUCGUCCUGCAUACCCAAGUUCGAGACCCGGACUCUGUCUCAUGACCGAAUUUUAGCCACUACAACGACCACCCACUCCAAAGGACCCGAUCAUAUAUAUACGAGCCCAUGACAAGAGCUCGUCAGACGGUUUAGGGACACUUAAGACACUUA
Acyrthosiphon pisum (pea aphid) is the source of this 712-nucleotide non-coding RNA. The record is from Rfam. Lineage: Eukaryota; Metazoa; Arthropoda; Insecta; Hemiptera; Aphididae.